Long non-coding RNA from Brassica napus (rape), 834 nucleotides. RefSeq lists it as uncharacterized. The transcript is spliced from 2 exons. The record is from RefSeq and is a predicted model, not a curated record. Lineage: Eukaryota; Viridiplantae; Streptophyta; Magnoliopsida; Brassicales; Brassicaceae.
GGAAGAAAACUUAAUUGUUUCAUUAACAAAAUUUUGGUUUAUAUAUGAAUUGGGGUUUGGCUGGUUCACUGGGUCAGCGGUUCCCGAAUUUUUAACGAUUCGAUAGGGGUUUUUAACCGGUUCAAUUUUAGUUGAGUUUUGGCAUUAACCCAACCCGAAUUAUUAUCGGUUUAUGGUUUAGACGGUCGGACCGGGUUUAAAAACACUGGAUAUUAUAUUAGAUUAGAUUAAGUAUUUGAAUUCUUGUUCAGUUUUGAAAUAUUAUUUCCGGAUGCUAAUAAGAUAUUUGGAUUCUGUUAUAUAUAAAUGGAUGGUCUUGGGAGCAUGGUGGAUACUGGAUAGGAUGGGUGGCAAGCAUGGAGCAUGGUGGGUGGUAGCGGCCUACAGUCAUGUGAAAUGCCAUUCGGAGGUCAAUGAAAAUGAGCCGAACCAUUUGUCCUCACAAGACCACCUUAUUACGUAAACGCCCUUCCCCACAUGGGCAGUAGUGCUUACACAAACUAUUGUAACUUCCCGUUUCCAGAAAUCAAGCUCGUCUUGUUUCUGUAGAUGGUAACAAACGGUUUCCUGUCAUAUGAUAUAAACUUUUGUUUCUAAGGGUUUCCUCUGGUCGCUUCAGUUCCAUGUCAUUUUCUUAAACCUGCUAACAAACUAACGGUGUACUGAAUCUAAAUUUGGUGAAUAGAAUGAAACAUGAAAGCGAAUCCAUUAACUAAGUGAAGAGAUAGAUAUAUAAUCCUAACGAAGGUGGGUUUGAUUCCACCACCAAUAUUCCAAACCUUAAAAAGAAAAAGAAAAAAAAAAACAAAACCAAGAAAGAUUAAAGAGGAUAGC